RNAcentral lists this ribosomal RNA (466 nucleotides) under uncultured bacterium. Its description in RNAcentral is "partial 16S ribosomal RNA". It matches the Rfam family "Bacterial small subunit ribosomal RNA", at positions 28 to 507 of the family's 1533-position model. The record is from RNAcentral.
GAUGAACGCUGGCGGCGUGCUUAACACAUGCAAGUCGAACGAUGAAGCCCAGCUUGUUGGGUGGAUUAGUGGCGAACGGGUGAGUAACACGUGAGUAACCUGCCCUUAUCUCUGGGAUAAGCCUGGGAAACUGGGUCUAAUACCGGACAGGAGCGCCUACCGCACGGUGGGUGCUGGAGAGAUUUAUCGGUUUUGGAUGGACUCGCGGCCUAUCCGCUUGUUGGUGAGGUAAUGGUUCACCAAGGCGACGACGGGUAGCCGGCCUGAGAGGGUGACCGGCCACACUGGGACUGAGACACGGCCCAGACUCCUACGGGAGGCAGCAGUGGGGAAUAUUGCACAAUGGGCGAAAGCCUGAUGCAGCGACGCCGCGUGAGGGAUGACGGCCUUCGGGUUGUAAACCUCUUUCAGUAGGGAAGAAGCGAAAGUGACGGUACCUGCAGAAGAAGCACCGGCUAACUACGUG